Molecule: ribosomal RNA, 390 nt
Filed under: Synergistetes bacterium oral taxon 363
Lineage: Bacteria; Thermotogati; Synergistota
Description: bacterial SSU rRNA
Rfam family: Bacterial small subunit ribosomal RNA
Source: RNAcentral
GAUGAACGCGGCGGCGUGCGUAACACAUGCAAGUUGGACGACGGUGCCAUGAAGUGGUAACGCGGAGUGGUAUACGGAGUAGCGGACGGGUGAGUACAACAUGAGAAGCUGUCCUUCAGAGGGGGGCAACGUCUGGAAGCGGACGCUAAUACCCCAUAGGCCGAGAGGUUAAAGCAGCAAUGCGCUGGAGGAGGUGCUCGUGCCCUAUCAGCUAGUUGGUGAGGUAACGGCUCACCAAGGCGACGACGGGUAGCCGGCCUGAGAGGGUGAACGGCCACACUGGAACUGAGAUACGGUCCAGACUCCUACGGGAGGCAGCAGUGGGGAAUAUUGGGCGGUGGGAGGAAUCCUGACCCAGCGAACGCCGCGUGAAACGAUGAAGGCCUUAAG